Molecule: ribosomal RNA, 627 nt
Filed under: uncultured fungus
Lineage: Eukaryota; Fungi
Description: eukaryotic LSU rRNA
Rfam family: Eukaryotic large subunit ribosomal RNA
Source: RNAcentral
CCCGCUGAACUUAAGCAUAUCAAUAAGGCGAGGAACAGAAACCAACAGGGAUUCCCCUAGUAGUGGCGAAUGAAGCGGGAAAAGCUCAAGUUUGAAAUCUGAGACUUGUCUCAUAGUUGUAAGCUGAAGAGGCAAUGACCGACGAGCUCCGGGUCCUAUUUCUUUGGAACAAGAUGUCAUGGAGGGUGAGAACCCCGUCUAUGGCUCGGAUACCUUUGUCCUUGUGUCGCGUCCUCGAAGAGUCGGGUGGUUUGGGAAUGCAGCUCAAAAUGGGUGGUAAAUUUCAUCUAAGGCUAAAUAUUGGCGAGAGACCGAUAGCAAACAAGUAGAGUGAUCGAAAGGUGAAAAGUACUAAGAAAAGAGAGUGAAACAGUACGUGAAAUUGUUGAAAGGGAAGCGUUUGGCAUCCGCCCAUGGCGUCAGUCGAUCAUCCAGGCUUCUGUCUGGUGCACUUGUCUGGCGUCGGGUCACCGUCAACUUUGCUCACUGGAUAAAGGUCUUGGGAACGUGUCUCCUUUCGGGGAGAGUUACAUGCCCUUGACGUCAUACAAUGUGGUGGGGUUGUGGUCCGCGGUUUCUCCUAGGACGCUGGCGUAAUGGUUCCAAGCGACCCGUCUUGAAACACGG